CAUUUUGCCCCGAUUCACUCAAAUACAAAACUCUAUUUCCAUUUCCUUCUAAUUUCCCUCCAGAAAUUCUCUAUUAUAACUUAAUCGUGUUCUUCUUUCGGCAGAUCUUGUUGCCAAUGUUUUUUCUUCUUCUACGCCUUCAUUUGGAAAAUUGGGAGAAACAUGUCGAUGAAUUUUGACAUCGUUUGGAGGAGUUGGGGAGUCUAUAGAAGUAGACAUGACCUACGAUGAUGGAGUUAGAUUCAGUCACUCGGCUCAUAUAUGCCAGCCUUCUUUUUGUACAAUUGUCUUUCUCUAUUGUUGGUAUUCAGACUAAUUUAUUUGAUGAACUUUUCAUUUUAUGUGUUUUUAAAAUGGUAGAUACAAUUUUAGAUCUAUAUAAUCUUCACAUUUUUCAAAAUUUCAAUUUCAUUAUAUUACAUAUAUUUUAAGCGUGUUGUCAAUUUAAGUUGGCCAAGUGCUCUAGAGUGGUACUCUAAAUUGAGUUUUGAAAUGUUUGUGUUUUAUCUUGUUUGCUUUUAGACUAUCUAUGACUAUGUGUGAGUAAGUUGCCUUUUAGUUUGAGGUAGCAUGGACAUGAGGAGCAAGUCAAUAUUGAAAUAUUUAUAUAAAAGUUUGUAAAUAUCUUAAAAUUGUCUAAUUUCACACCGAUUGAGCGGUGUUGCUGGUGAAGUGAGCACAUUAAGGAACUUCACAUUUAGAAAAUUGUAAGUAUCACACUGAAAAAUUGUUCUAUCCAACUUACAAUUCCUACAAUCUCCACUGAGAUAACAAUGUCGUCGGGAUAUUGGUAGCCCAUUGUGGCAGAAAAUAGCUGCCCUGCAUCCAAAAUUAACAGUCUCUACAACGUGUUAAGAGAGAGCGAAACUAUUUUGUACACGUAACUAUUUAUUUCUGCACCCACUACAUACAAUCGACUCAGCUUACAAUGCUUCUGCUUCUAUUAAAGGAAAUCCUCCUUCCAUCUACUAGAAAGGUGAGUUACUAAGACUUGUCAAAUUUUUAAUUUAAUCCAUGACGACAAAUGUAGUAACAUUUGUUCUUAGAGAAUAUUUCAUUAUGAAUCAUUUAUAAAUAUCAUCCUAGUAUCAUUUCAAUAAAAUUUUGUUCUUAGGAAAUUUUGCGAAGAUAUUUUUUCAUUGAAACUCUGUCAUAAACUCAAGGCAUGUAUCUUCUUCCUUGUUUGGUCGCAACUCUCUGCCCGAGAUAGAUUUCAGCUCUCUGCUUGAGAUAGAAUUUUAGGUUCUGGUCAUUGAGCUGCACUAGUUCUUUCUUGGAGAAGGAUUGGAUUACUUAUCUCCAAGUUUUGGUUUUGGUCAUUGAAGGGCUUUUGGAGACGACUUGAGAAGAUUUGGAUUUCUUAAUCAUCCAAGUAAGGAAACCUGUCUAAAAGAUGAAUGCGGAGGUUUUUUGAGCGAGAAAUGCAGAAAAGUACCA
Molecule: long non-coding RNA, 1437 nt
Organism: Solanum pennellii
Lineage: Eukaryota; Viridiplantae; Streptophyta; Magnoliopsida; Solanales; Solanaceae
Exons: 4
Source: RefSeq, a predicted model, not a curated record